UCUGCAUAGCCUGGUAUCCUAGAACUCC
Molecule: non-coding RNA, 28 nt
Filed under: Mus musculus (house mouse)
Lineage: Eukaryota; Metazoa; Chordata; Mammalia; Rodentia; Muridae
Source: RNAcentral